This 484-nucleotide ribosomal RNA is filed under the name uncultured bacterium. Its description in RNAcentral is "partial 16S ribosomal RNA". It matches the Rfam family "Bacterial small subunit ribosomal RNA", at positions 30 to 507 of the family's 1533-position model. The record is from RNAcentral.
AUUGAACGCUGGCGGCAGGCCUAACACAUGCGAGUCGAGCGGAUGAAGGGAGCUUGCUCCUGAAUUCAGCGGCGGACGGGUGAGUAAUGCCUAGGAAUCUGCCUGGUAGUGGGGGAUAACGUCCGGAAACGGGCGCUAAUACCGCAUACGUCCUGAGGGAGAAAGUGGGGGAUCUUCGGACCUCACGCUAUCAGAUGAGCCUAGGUCGGAUUAGCUAGUUGGUGGGGUAAAGGCCUACCAAGGCGACGAUCCGUAACUGGUCUGAGAGGAUGAUCAGUCACACUGGAACUGAGACACGGUCCAGACUCCUACGGGAGGCAGCAGUGGGGAAUAUUGGACAAUGGGCGAAAGCCUGAUCCAGCCAUGCCGCGUGUGUGAAGAAGGUCUUCGGAUUGUAAAGCACUUUAAGUUGGGAGGAAGGGCAGUAAGUUAAUACCUUGCUGUUUUGACGUUACCAACAGAAUAAGCACCGGCUAACUUCGUG